RNAcentral lists this ribosomal RNA (478 nucleotides) under uncultured bacterium. RNAcentral describes it as "partial 16S ribosomal RNA". It matches the Rfam family "Bacterial small subunit ribosomal RNA", at positions 28 to 507 of the family's 1533-position model. The record is from RNAcentral.
GAUGAACGCUGGCGGCGUGCUUAACACAUGCAAGUCGAACGGGAAAUAUUUCAUUGAGACUUCGGUGGAUUUGAUUUAUUUCUAGUGGCGGACGGGUGAGUAACGCGUGGGUAACCUGCCUUAUACAGGGGGAUAACAGUCAGAAAUGGCUGCUAAUACCGCAUAAGCGCACAGAGCUGCAUGGCUCAGUGUGAAAAACUCCGGUGGUAUAAGAUGGACCCGCGUUGGAUUAGCUAGUUGGUGGGGUAGCGGCCCACCAAGGCGACGAUCCAUAGCCGGCCUGAGAGGGUGAACGGCCACAUUGGGACUGAGACACGGCCCAGACUCCUACGGGAGGCAGCAGUGGGGAAUAUUGCAAAAUGGGGGAAACCCUGAUGCAGCGACGCCGCGUGAAGGAAGAAGUAUCGCGGUAUGUAAACUUCUAUCAGCAGGGAAGAUAGUGACGGUACCUGACUAAGAAGCCCCGGCUAACUACGUG